AUCCUGGGCUCAGGAUGAACGCUAGCGGCAGGCUUAACACAUGCAAGUCAGGGGGCAGCGUGAGGGUUAGCAAUAACCCUUGACGGCGACCGGCGCAAGGGUGCGUAACGCGUGAGCAACUUGCCCUUAUCAGGGGGAUAACCAAUGGAAACGUUGACUAAUACCCCAUAGCAUAACCUUGAGGCAUCUCUUGGUUAUUAAAGAAUUUCGGAUAAGGAUAGGCUCGCGUGACAUUAGCUAGAUGGCGGGGUAACGGCCCACCAUGGCGACGAUGUCUAGGGGUUCUGAGAGGAAGGUCCCCCACACUGGAACUGAGACACGGUCCAGACUCCUACGGGAGGCAGCAGUGAGGAAUAUUGGUCAAUGGUCUGACGACUGAACCAGCCAUGCCGCGUGAAGGUCACGGCCCUAUGGGUCUUAAACUUCUUUUGUAAGGGAGCAAUAAGUCCUACGUGUAGGAUGAUGAGAGUACCUUACGAAUAAGCAUCGGCUAACUCCGUG
This 501-nucleotide ribosomal RNA is filed under the name uncultured bacterium. Its description in RNAcentral is "bacterial SSU rRNA". It matches the Rfam family "Bacterial small subunit ribosomal RNA", at positions 16 to 507 of the family's 1533-position model. The record is from RNAcentral.